UACGGGGGGAGCAAGCGUUGUUCGGAUUUACUGGGCGUAAAGGGCGCGUAGGCGGCCUGUGCAAGUCAGUUGUGAAAUCUCCGGGCUUAACUCGAAACGGUCAACUGAUACUGCUCGGCUAGAGUGCGGAAGGGGCAACUGGAAUUCUUGGUGUAGCGGUGAAAUGCGUAGAUAUCAAGAGGAACACCUGCGGCGAAGGCGGGUUGCUGGGCCGACACUGACGCUGAGGCGCGAAAGCUAGGGGAGCGAACGGG
This 254-nucleotide ribosomal RNA is filed under the name uncultured bacterium. RNAcentral describes it as "partial 16S ribosomal RNA". It matches the Rfam family "Bacterial small subunit ribosomal RNA", at positions 524 to 776 of the family's 1533-position model. The record is from RNAcentral.